AUUGAACGCUAGCGGGAUGCUUUACACAUGCAAGUCGAACGGCAGCGCGGACUUCGGUCUGGCGGCGAGUGGCGAACGGGUGAGUAAUGUAUCGGAACGUGCCCAGUAGCGGGGGAUAACUACGCGAAAGCGUAGCUAAUACCGUAUACGCCCUACGGGGGAAAGCAGGGGAUCGUAAGACCUUGCACUAUUGGAGCGGCCGAUAUCGGAUUAGCUAGUUGGUGAGGUAACGGCUCACCAAGGCGACGAUCCGUAGCUGGUUUGAGAGGACGACCAGCCACACGGGGACUGAGACACGGCCCAGACGCCUACGGGAGGCAGCAGUGGGGAAUUUUGGACAAUGGGGGCAACCCUGAUCCAGCCAUCCCGCGUGUGCGAUGAAGGCCUUCGGGUUGUAAAGCACUUUUGGCAGGAAAGAAACGUCGCGGGCUAAUACCCCGUGGAACUGACGGUACCUGCAGAAUAAGCACCGGCUAACUACGUG
Molecule: ribosomal RNA, 484 nt
Filed under: uncultured bacterium
Lineage: Bacteria
Description: partial 16S ribosomal RNA
Rfam family: Bacterial small subunit ribosomal RNA
Source: RNAcentral